Molecule: long non-coding RNA, 1241 nt
Organism: Neofelis nebulosa (Clouded leopard)
Lineage: Eukaryota; Metazoa; Chordata; Mammalia; Carnivora; Felidae
Exons: 2
Source: RefSeq, a predicted model, not a curated record
UAUAAAUCUCUGAGGUUAUCCAAUAAAGCAAUUUGGGAUAAAGUCUUCUGCAGAAAUGUUUGACGCUUAUGGAACAGUGGUUCCCCAAUUUGGGCACAUGGGAUAUACCCUGAGAUGAUUAAAAAUACUGACACCUGGCUCCUACCUACAGACAUGGUGUUUUAGUUUAGCUGGGCAAAACGUGGGCAUCAGGCCUUUCAAUCCCUGUCUCCACAUUCUAAUGUGCAGCAAAAUCUGGAAACCACUGUUACAAAAAUGGUGUCUUCAAAUUUUUCUGCCUUCAGUUCUGGGAUUGACAGGAAACACAAAUCCUAAGCCCUUAUUUCUGGGAUCUUUUGGGGCUGAAUGAAACAGAGAAAGCACAAGGUAACACCCACCAUGUUGGAACCAUUUUCACAUGACCAUAGUAUUUUCUCUCCACAGAAUUUCAGGCAAAAGUAUAAUAGAGGGCCAGCUGAAACCACUGUGAAGCAAGUAUCAAUUUGGGGAGUUGUUAGGUAGAUCUGUUAUAGCUGGAACUAUAAGCAGGCAAAGAACUGGUAUAGGAUAGAGACGGAAGACCAAAGUGGGAUAUCCAUCAAAUGUAAACCACUCCACCCCCAGACUGUGGGGACGGGGAGGCUGGGGAGGAACAGGAAAGAUCAAAUACAACUCCUCCUCCCAUCUAUAAGUUCCCACACCAUGGAAACUUUGCAUAAGUGCAACAAAGGCCGGUUCACCACACCCUGAAAUCUCACACCCCCCCUCCCUUUCUUCUUGCUGAGGUAACCACACACUGUACCCACAGCGGCAGGCAGCUCAGCAGAGGUCAUCGUGCCCUCAGUUAUCCAGCUUGAGUCCUUGUCUGAAAGCUACUGGCAAUAAGAAGGACGGUACCAUCUCAGUGGGACAGCUUUGAAGACAUACUUGUCUGAGGCUGUGAUGGAAUCAUACCUGUCUACAGUUUCACUGCUUUAUGGCCUAGCAGGAAGAACCAGGAGGGAAGUUUGGACAUACUGACAGAUGCGCAAAGAGGGACGAAGAUGUGAAAGCACACAGGGAGAAGACAGUCAUGUGACUGCAGUGAUGACAUUUAGAAACCAAUGGAUUCCAAGGAUUGCUGGCAAACACCAGAAGCUAGAAGAGGCAAGGAAACAUUCUCCCCUCGAAACAUCCGAGAAAGCACAGCCUUGCUAAUAACCCCUUGAUCUAUGACUUCUGGCCUCCAGAACCAUGUGACAAUAAAUUUGUUUAAAAAUUUU